Molecule: long non-coding RNA, 736 nt
Organism: Fundulus heteroclitus (mummichog)
Lineage: Eukaryota; Metazoa; Chordata; Actinopteri; Cyprinodontiformes; Fundulidae
Exons: 3
Source: RefSeq, a predicted model, not a curated record
UUUAAGAGUGUUCCUGCCUCGUCAAAUUUAACUGAUCUUCUGAACAUUCACACACCACUGAAGGAACUUUAGUUUGGCUGGUUAGUUUCUCAGGAUCCAAACAUAAAGAGUUCCAUCAUCGAUAUGGAUGCUGCAAUAAAAACACAGGAAGCCAUCAGUUUUGAAACUGCCCACAUUAGAAAGGUGAAACCUCUGCCUACCCUUGAAGCAGAUUCAGAUAUGGCCCCUGUCUCUCUGGCCGUAUUGUAAGUUAGCAUGCACUACCCCUCAACACACACUGUUUUUUUUUUUUCCUUUAGAAAAAAGGGAACUUGAGUUGCCUUUUCCAGAUCAGAUAUGCAGGAUGAGGCUUGUGGAAGAAACACAAGCACAUGUUUACAUAGACAUAAGGAAAUUCUGUAAUGGCAGCAUACCUCUGGCAGAAACAUCAGAGGCCCAUGGACUGGGGAUGUUUAUAUGACCAGAGAGCCUGGAGAUGGAACUGAGAUAUGAGUGCUGAUCUGUGAAAGGAACCACUGCUGUAAAUCGCUGCUGCUCGCCAUCCCACACAAAUGCCAUCUGGCUGUUCCACGAGUCACGGAAACAACGUCACACCUGCACACUUCCAGAACCACAGCUAGUGUGUGAUUCAACAUAUGCGUGAUAAACUGGUUUUCUUAUCUGGACCGGUUUUAAGUCUCGAGGGGCUUAGUUGAUUUUUGACAACAACCUCUUUCUUGGUUUCCACAACAAUACU